UACGUAGGGUGCAAGCGUUAAUCGGAAUUACUGGGCGUAAAGCGUGCGCAGGCGGUUGUGCAAGACAGAUGUGAAAUCCCCGGGCUCAACCUGGGAACUGCAUUUGUGACUGCACGGCUGGAGUGCGGCAGAGGGGGAUGGAAUUCCGCGUGUAGCAGUGAAAUGCGUAGAUAUGCGGAGGAACACCGAUGGCGAAGGCAGUCCCCUGGACCUGUACUGACGCUCAUGCACGAAAGCGUGGGGAGCAAACAGG
RNAcentral lists this ribosomal RNA (253 nucleotides) under uncultured bacterium. RNAcentral describes it as "partial 16S ribosomal RNA". It matches the Rfam family "Bacterial small subunit ribosomal RNA", at positions 524 to 776 of the family's 1533-position model. The record is from RNAcentral.